AUAGGAAUAAAAUGGAGAUUGUCUCUCGGAGAGAUGGCCGAGUGGUUGAUAGCUCCGGUCUUGAAAACCGGUAUAGUUCUCAAGAACUAUCGAGGGUUCGAAUCCCUCUCUCUCCU
Molecule: transfer RNA, 116 nt
Filed under: Thalassia hemprichii
Lineage: Eukaryota; Viridiplantae; Streptophyta; Magnoliopsida; Alismatales; Hydrocharitaceae
Description: tRNA-Ser
Rfam family: tRNA (bases 28-116)
About the family: Transfer RNA (tRNA) molecules are approximately 80 nucleotides in length. Their secondary structure includes four short double-helical elements and three loops (D, anti-codon, and T loops).
Source: RNAcentral